This 190-nucleotide unclassified non-coding RNA is filed under the name Glomeraceae sp. Its description in RNAcentral is "partial contains 5.8S ribosomal RNA and internal transcribed spacer 2". The stretch from base 1 to 71 matches the Rfam family "5.8S ribosomal RNA", at positions 84 to 154 of the family's 154-position model. The record is from RNAcentral. Lineage: Eukaryota; Fungi; Glomeromycota; Glomeromycetes; Glomerales; Glomeraceae.
GUGAAUCAUCGAAUUUUUGAACGCAAAUUGCACUCUCUGGCAUUCCGGAGAGUAUGCCUGUUUGAGGGUCAGUUUAAAUAAAAAUAGAGGUGUUGCUGUGUAGGGAGAAAUGGGAAUUGGGAUAAAUUUGACUUUUUAAAAAGUGUAAGUGAAGUAAAAUUGAUACAAUGUGAAUGUAAGACGUACAUAA